Molecule: ribosomal RNA, 195 nt
Filed under: uncultured Diversispora
Lineage: Eukaryota; Fungi; Glomeromycota; Glomeromycetes; Diversisporales; Diversisporaceae
Description: partial 18S ribosomal RNA
Rfam family: Eukaryotic small subunit ribosomal RNA
Source: RNAcentral
AGCAGCCGCGGUAAUUCCAGCUCCAAUAGCGUAUAUUAAAGUUGUUGCGGUUAAAAAGCUCGUAGUUGGAUCUGCGGCCGAGGAGGGCGGUCCCCCGUUGGGUGGCUACUGCCUUUCCUGGCCUAACUCUCUGGUUUUCCUCUGGUGCUCUUGACUGAGUGCCUCUGGUGGCCAGAACGUUUACUUUGAAAAAAU